Molecule: RNA transcript, 2590 nt
Organism: Phycodurus eques (leafy seadragon)
Lineage: Eukaryota; Metazoa; Chordata; Actinopteri; Syngnathiformes; Syngnathidae
Gene: pex11g
Gene name: peroxisomal biogenesis factor 11 gamma
Exons: 7
Source: RefSeq, a predicted model, not a curated record
UGGUCGAAGUCCAACAGACGAGUCGAAAAACAAGGAUGUAAAGUGAACGAUGUUUUACACACAAGCAUGACAGCCUCGUACACUUCAUUUGUUUUUUUUGACAACACUGUGACCUUGUGUCAGUGUCAGACAUGCAGCACUCUGUCGACUGCCUUGUAGAGUUUUUAGAGUCCUACAGGGGAAGGGAUAAAGUCAUCAGGGCGCUCCGCUAUGGCUCGCAGCUGGUCGGAGGCAUUCUUUCACGCAAGGCAGAUGCAGAUGCUUCGUCCCCCAACCUUGGAAAAAGUCUGCUUCUAUUUUCUGCUCAGCUAAGCCACUGCAGGACGGUGCUGAGGCUGCUUGAUGAUCUGUCCAUGCUGGCUUAUUCCCACAGUUAUGGAUUUGGAGCCAAGGAGAAAGAUGGAAUCGUUCGCUGCAUAUCAGUGCUUGCGAAUGUGGCUGACCAGCUCUACUACCCGUGUGAACACGUGGCCUGGGCCGCUGAUGCUCACCUCGUUCGAGUGAAGUCUGACAGAUGGUGGCUGUUCGGCACGGUGCUGUGGGGAACCUCGCUGCUGCUGGGGAUCCUUAGGUCACUCCGUGUUAUGAUGCUUCUCAAGAGGAAGCUUAGUAAAUGUGACGAAGAUGGAAGCAGCCGCUGUCAGAUCCAUAGGCAGAUGCAAGCAGAGCUGCUUUCGAUCCUCGGAUGUAUGACAGACCUCAGUAAUGCCAUCCACUGGAUGCCACAUGGUUUCCUGUGGGCAGGACAAUUCCCUGCAUGGCUAGUGGGCCUGAUGGCAGCAGGUGUAGACCUCCAGCGUGGAGCAGUCGGCGCGAGAGCCCUCCCACGCCUUAAAGAGGAAGAACGCUGGUGCAAUCAGGAGGGGAAUUAACAUCAAAUAAUUGAGGACGGAAUGGAGGUCACAAAGUGGGACAGUGAACCUCAGUAUUCGCAGCUUCAUCGUGAUCAAAACAUCCAUCAGAUGCUGGCUCGCAAAAAUGAGUUUCUUCCUGAACAGCAGCCAUGGACCUUCAGUGUAAAGCAGGAGGUGCCAGACCCCCAACACAUUCACAUUAAAGAAAAGAACGACCUCCGUUCCUUUCAAAGGGAAGAGCAGCUUCAAGCACCGGAGGAAGCUGAUAUUGCAAAGUGCUCCUCAACUCGUGUGAAGCGGGAAUGUGGACCUCCACAAUCACAGUUUCAUCACAUUGAAAAGGAAAAGAAAAGAAAGGUGGAACCUGUAACCAGUAUCUUAAAAACUGAAACUGAUGGAAACCACAGGGAGUGGAUUAGAGUUAGACAGCCACUCGGGUCCACUUCGGCAAGUUGAUGAAGACGCAGACUCAGACUCUUCUGAGAGUGAUGUCGACGACAAACCUUUGAAGAGCAAAAGAGACACUAAGGGUGACCCUUACAACACACAGUACAAAAUUUUCUGUCGCGUUUGCUUUCAAAGAUUCAGAUUAUGGAAACAUUUGAGAAAACAUAUGGGAACGCAUGUGAAAACACACAAAACACAAAAAGGGGAAAAAACAUUUGCCUGCUCAUUUUGUGGUAAAAAUUCCUCAAAUAGGAAAGCACUCUCACUGCACGUGAGAAUACACGCUGUGGAAAAGGAAUUUUCCUGUUCAGAUUGUGGCAGAGGUUUCACUCGUAAUCAGCAAUUGACCAACCACAUGAAGGUCCACACUGGAGAAAAACCUUUUCCCUGCUCAGUUUGUGGAAAAAGAUUUUCAUCCAAGGGCAACUUUGGAAUACACAUGAGAACACACACUGGAGAAAAACCGUUUUCAUGUUCUGUUUGCAGUAAAAGAUUUUCAUCUCAGACUGGUGUACAAAUACAUAGGCAAACACACACUAGAGAAAAACACUUUUUUUGCUCAGUUUGUGCGGAAAGUUUCACUCGAAUAGGCAAUUUACAGAGACAUAUGAGAACACACACUGGAGAAAGACCCUUUGUCUGCUCAGUUUGUGGUUCAAAAUUUGUUCAAAAAGAACAUUUGGUGGCACAUGUAAGCAGAAUACACGCUGGUGGGAAAUCGCUCAGCUGUGGCGUGUGUUACAAAAGAUUCUCUCGUCAGCAAGAAGCUGACAAGCACGAAUGUACUGGUGAGAACAGCAGCAGUAAAUGAAGCUUUAAAUGAACUACAUCAACCGACAAACUGACGUUCCAACGACCUCAGUUUGAAUAGUCGAAUGAAGUGAGAACAACAAGGAUGGUGGAAUCCCUUUUUUGUAUACACAUUUUAAAAGCACAGUAUAUAUUGUAUUAUUCUUUGGAACGAAAUGUGCAUGCCUUUGAAGACUACGUGAUCCUGAAUAAAAUACUCCUACAAAAAUAGUAUCAUGCUUUACAUGAGAUGCUGAAACAAAAUAAUAAGAAGUACAUAAAGUAGUAAAGAUUUUAAGGAUGAGUAAAAAAGAACAUUACACAUGAUUGGAGCAGAAUAUGAGCGUCACACAAGGACUAUGGAGAGUAGUAGUAUAAUCAAAAUGGUUCUAAAGCAAUGGGAUAUCCACAAUAAAUCUUAAAAGAUAAUACUAUUUUCGAUACUGAAAAGGAAAGAAUUCCCGAGUCGAGAGAUAAAUAUGAUGUAGAUAAGGGAUUGG